GUCACUUUUACAUUUUUUUUUUAAUAAAGAUAGAAGAUUACAAAAGCCAUAUUUUAUCAUGGCAAGGAUGAAAGAACAAAGUUCAUUUACAUCUAAAGGAAUCCUCUCUCAAGAACUUUGUGGCUAAAGCAUGUGCUGUACUAUUACAAAACCUUUGCACAACAGAGAACUGAACCUCUCGUAGCAAACUGGCAAUCCCUUAAGCAUCUUGAUUAGCACCUUGUACUGGGGAAUUAUGUCCUCGCAGGACAUUAAUCACCAUUAUAGAAUCACCUUCAAAUAUAAUGUUUGAAGGAUUAAGCUAGAAGAACGGCCUCACGACUUGCUAACCCUUCAAGCUGCAAAAGAUCACUUAUAAAUGGCCAAAAUUUACAGCACCAAUUAACUAUUCUUUCCCGAUGAUCCAAUUGUAGUCGCCCUUCUAUUUCUCUUAUUAUCUACUGCUGCGCCGAAGUUUAAUUUGAACCAUUUGCUUGGAGGUGGUGACCAAUCCUGGGGAUGAACCAUCGAAUUCCCAAGCACUUGUGUACCCGCCACUGAUGCAACCGCCUUGAAUUCCUCAUGCAGCUUUGACGCAAGGUGCAGGACUUCUUGAAAAUUCUGUUGCACAUCAUUAAAGACUAAAGCAUUUCUGCUUUUCUAGAUAGCCCAUGGAAUGAACGCCACCAACUGAUGCAAAUCCUCUCCCUGAUCACUGGAAGCCACAACAGAGCCCAAUUCCUCCCAGCAGUCUAUCAAGUUUGAGUGACCAAGAAGGGAUGAUCGUAGACGCAGUGGGGUAUGUAACCAUACUGC
This 795-nucleotide unclassified non-coding RNA is filed under the name Hevea brasiliensis (rubber tree). The record is from RNAcentral. Lineage: Eukaryota; Viridiplantae; Streptophyta; Magnoliopsida; Malpighiales; Euphorbiaceae.